AGUGAACGCUGGCGGUAGGCCUAACACAUGCAAGUCGAACGGCAGCACAGUAAGAGCUUGCUCUUACGGGUGGCGAGUGGCGGACGGGUGAGGAAUACAUCGGAAUCUACUUUUUCGUGGGGGAUAACGUAGGGAAACUUACGCUAAUACCGCAUACGACCUACGGGUGAAAGCAGGGGAUCUUCGGACCUUGCGCGAUUGAAUGAGCCGAUGUCGGAUUAGCUAGUUGGCGGGGUAAAGGCCCACCAAGGCGACGAUCCGUAGCUGGUCUGAGAGGAUGAUCAGCCACACUGGAACUGAGACACGGUCCAGACUCCUACGGGAGGCAGCAGUGGGGAAUAUUGGACAAUGGGCGCAAGCCUGAUCCAGCCAUACCGUGUGGGUGAAGAAGGCCUUCGGGUUGUAAAGCCCUUUUGUUGGGAAAGAAAAGCAGCAGGUUAAUACCCCGCUGUUCUGAGGGUACCCAAAGAAUAAGCACCGGCUAACUUCGUG
RNAcentral lists this ribosomal RNA (492 nucleotides) under uncultured bacterium. RNAcentral describes it as "partial 16S ribosomal RNA". It matches the Rfam family "Bacterial small subunit ribosomal RNA", at positions 29 to 507 of the family's 1533-position model. The record is from RNAcentral.